RNAcentral lists this ribosomal RNA (318 nucleotides) under Triticum aestivum (bread wheat). RNAcentral describes it as "partial small subunit ribosomal RNA". The record is from RNAcentral. Lineage: Eukaryota; Viridiplantae; Streptophyta; Magnoliopsida; Poales; Poaceae.
AUGACAGGAGUGCAUUAUUUUCCAUGUGGAGAUUCAGUGUACUGCGACAGCGGGUGGAAUUUUCUUGUCGACCAUAUUAGUCUAGUCAAAGAUUACUCUGUAUGGUCUGUAUCCCCUCAGGCCUUUGGAAGUGAGAAGCUUCUGCAGAGAAAAGUACUCCAUCGAUUUGGAAAAUACGAGUCCAUUUUUGGAGCGACGCCGGUGGACUGGAGGCAGUGCAUCCUAUUCAACAUUGAUAUAAACUUAACUUCCGCAAAGAGGUGCAGAAUCUUGGAAGAGGAAGAUGGCAAAAAUUUAGUUGCUCAAAAACUCUCCUAG